Molecule: ribosomal RNA, 497 nt
Filed under: uncultured bacterium
Lineage: Bacteria
Description: partial 16S ribosomal RNA
Rfam family: Bacterial small subunit ribosomal RNA
Source: RNAcentral
GAUGAACGCUGGCGGCGUGCCUAAUACAUGCAAGUCGAGCGAACAGAUGAGGAGCUUGCUCCUCUGACGUUAGCGGCGGACGGGUGAGUAACACGUGGAUAACCUACCUAUAAGACUGGGAUAACUUCGGGAAACCGGAGCUAAUACCGGAUAAUAUAUUGAACCGCAUGGUUCAAUAGUGAAAGACGGUUUUGCUGUCACCUAUAGAUGGAUCCGCGCCGCAUUAGCUAGUUGGUAAGGUAACGGCUUACCAAGGCAACGAUGCGUAGCCGACCUGAGAGGGUGAUCGGCCACACUGGAACUGAGACACGGUCCAGACUCCUACGGGAGGCAGCAGUAGGGAAUCUUCCGCAAUGGGCGAAGGCCUGACGGAGCAACGCCGCGUGAGUGAUGAAGGUCUUCGGAUCGUAAAACUCUGUUAUUAGGGAAGAACAAAUGUGUAAGUAACUAUGCACGUCUUGACGGUACCUAAUCAGAAAGCCACGGCUAACUACGUG